GACGAACGCUGGCGGCGUGCUUAACACAUGCAAGUCGAACGAUGAAGCCUAGCUUGCUAGGUGGAUUAGUGGCGAACGGGUGAGUAAUACGUGAGUAACCUACCUUUAACUCUGGGAUAAGCCCGGGAAACUGGGUCUAUUACCGGAUACGACCAAUCUCCGCAUGGGGUGUUGGUGGAAAGCGUUAUGUAGUGGUUAUAGAUGGGCUCACGGCCUAUCAGCUUGUUGGUGAGGUAACGGCUCACCAAGGCGACGACGGGUAGCCGGCCUGAGAGGGUGACCGGCCAAACUGGGACUGAGACACGGCCCAGACUCCUACGGGAGGCAGCAGUGGGGAAUAUUGCACAAUGGGCGCAAGCCUGAUGCAGCGACGCCGCGUGAGGGAUGACGGCCUUCGGGUUGUAAACCUCUGUUAGCAGGGAAGAAGAGAGAUUGACGGUACCUGCAGAGAAAGCGCCGGCUAACUACGUG
Molecule: ribosomal RNA, 471 nt
Filed under: uncultured bacterium
Lineage: Bacteria
Description: partial 16S ribosomal RNA
Rfam family: Bacterial small subunit ribosomal RNA
Source: RNAcentral